GACGAACGCUGGCGGCGCGCUUAACACAUGCAAGUCGAACGGAAAGGCCUGCUUUCCCUUGUGGAUUGCGGGUACUCGAGUGGCGAACGGGUGAGUAACACGUGAGUGAUCUGCCCCCAACUUGGGUAUAAGCCUGGGAAACUGGGUCUAAUUCCCGAUAGGACUGCAGGGUGGUGCCUGUGGUGGAAAACGAUUUUCUAGUGGUUGGGGAUGAGCUCGCGGCCUAUCAGCUUGUUGGUGGGGUAAUGGCCUACCAAGGCGGCGACGGGUAGCCGGCCUGAGAGGGUGGACGGCCACAUUGGGACUGAGAUACGGCCCAGACUCCUACGGGAGGCAGCAGUGGGGAAUAUUGCACAAUGGGCGGAAGCCUGAUGCAGCGACGCCGCGUGGGGGAUGACGGCCUUCGGGUUGUAAACUCCUUUCGACCGCGAGGAAGCCACAUGGUUGGAAGGGUGGUGACGGUAGUGGUAGAAGAAGCACCGGCUAACUACGUG
This 494-nucleotide ribosomal RNA is filed under the name uncultured bacterium. RNAcentral's name for it is "partial 16S ribosomal RNA". It matches the Rfam family "Bacterial small subunit ribosomal RNA", at positions 28 to 507 of the family's 1533-position model. The record is from RNAcentral.